Molecule: microRNA precursor, 84 nt
Filed under: Bombyx mori (domestic silkworm)
Lineage: Eukaryota; Metazoa; Arthropoda; Insecta; Lepidoptera; Bombycidae
Description: mir-2807 microRNA precursor family
Rfam family: mir-2807 microRNA precursor family
Source: Rfam by way of RNAcentral
UUAACUCAAAUUUGUAUGGAGUUGGAACAGCGCCCUUAGCGGCAAACGUAGGAAAACAUUCCAACUUCAUACAAAUUUGAGUUA